This is a non-coding RNA of Oryza glumipatula, 199 nucleotides long. The record is from Rfam. NCBI's taxonomy places the organism in Eukaryota, Viridiplantae, Streptophyta, Magnoliopsida, Poales, Poaceae.
UUUAAAUACAAUCAUGAGUUUCCGUGUCCAACUUUAAUCUGUCUUAUUUAAAACUUUUUUAUAUGAUUGAUAUUUUUAUUGAUACUAGAUGAUAAAACAUGAAUAUUACUUUGUGUGACUUAUGUUUUUUAUUUUUUUUAAAAAAAUAAAUAAGAUAAACUAUUAAAGUUGAACACGAAAAUUUAUGGUUAAACUUAAA